AACGAACGCUGGCGGCAUGCCUAACACAUGCAAGUCGAACGAUCCCUUCGGGGAUAGUGGCGCACGGGUGCGUAACGCGUGGGAACCUGCCCUUAGGUUCGGAAUAACUCAGAGAAAUUUGAGCUAAUACCGGAUAAUGUCUUCGGACCAAAGAUUUAUCGCCUUUGGAUGGGCCCGCGUUGGAUUAGCUAGUUGGUGGGGUAAAGGCCUACCAAGGCGACGACCCAUAGCUGGUCUGAGAGGAUGAUCAGCCACACUGGGACUGAGACACGGCCCAGACUCCUACGGGAGGCAGCAGUGGGGAAUAUUGGACAAUGGGCGAAAGCCUGAUCCAGCAAUGCCGCGUGAGUGAUGAAGGCCUUAGGGUUGUAAAGCUCUUUUACCCGGGAUGAUAAUGACAGUACCGGGAGAAUAAGCCCCGGCUAACUCCGUG
This 433-nucleotide ribosomal RNA is filed under the name uncultured bacterium. RNAcentral describes it as "partial 16S ribosomal RNA". It matches the Rfam family "Bacterial small subunit ribosomal RNA", at positions 29 to 507 of the family's 1533-position model. The record is from RNAcentral.